CCUACGGGGUGCAGCAGUGAGGAAUAUUGGUCAAUGGCCGGAAGGCUGAACCAGCCAUGCCGCGUGAAGGUCAGUGCCCUAUGGGCGUUAAACUUCUUUUGUGCGGGAGCAAUAAUGGUCACGUGUGGCCAGACGAGAGUACCGUACGAAUAAGCAUCUGGUAACUCCGUGCCAGCAGCCGCGGUCAUACGGGGGAUGCAAGCAUUAUCCGGAUUUAUUGGGUUUAAAGGGUGCGUAGGCUGUGAGGUAAGUCAGCGGUGAAAUGCCGCCGCUCAACGGGGUGAAGUGCCAUUGAAACUGCCUGGCUGGAAUGCGGAUGCCGUGGGAGGAAUGUGUGGUGUAGCGGUGAAAUGCAUAGAUAUCACACAGAACACCGAGUGCGAAGGCAUCUCACGAAUCCGCGAUUGACGCUGAUGCACGAAAGCGUGGGUAUCAAACAGGAUUAGAUACCCCUGUAGUC
RNAcentral lists this ribosomal RNA (460 nucleotides) under uncultured bacterium. RNAcentral's name for it is "partial 16S ribosomal RNA". It matches the Rfam family "Bacterial small subunit ribosomal RNA", at positions 338 to 795 of the family's 1533-position model. The record is from RNAcentral.